This 253-nucleotide ribosomal RNA is filed under the name uncultured bacterium. RNAcentral describes it as "partial 16S ribosomal RNA". It matches the Rfam family "Bacterial small subunit ribosomal RNA", at positions 524 to 776 of the family's 1533-position model. The record is from RNAcentral.
UACGGAGGGUACAAGCGUUAUCCGGAUUUACUGGGUUUAAAGGGUGCGUAGGUGGGUAAGUAAGUCAGUGGUGAAAUCUUCGAGCUUAACUCGGAAACUGCCAUUGAUACUAUUUAUCUUGAAUACUUUGGAGGUAAGCGGAAUAUGUCAUGUAGCGGUGAAAUGCUUAGAUAUGACAUAGAACACCAAUUGCGAAGGCAGCUUACUACACAGUUAUUGACACUGAGGCACGAAAGCGUGGGGAUCAAACAGG